UGUUGUGGUGAUUCACUAAGCUAAUAUAUAGAAUCACCCUAGUACAAGGGUAGAAGGGGAUUGAUAUGGGCUGGUUUCCUUUCCUAACAGUGCCUGAUAAUUAUGCAUGUUAAUGAAUUCAUUUACAAUAAGAAAGCGAUAAGAGCUGGGAAAGGUAAACUAAUUCAAAGUAAAGUUAUUUUAAAAUGAGAGAUGUAUUCAAUGGGGGAAAAAAGGGUUCUGGAUUUGGGGAAGGUGGUGCAUUUUAACUGGAGUCAGUGCCUUUGAGAUCCAGCACGGUGUGGGUAGGACAGAGAACUGUCCUGUGUAGUUCUAGGCUUUGAGAGCAAAGGGAUUAUUAUAGUGACCUUUGGAAGCAUCGGAUUUCUCCCCCGGGCUGUCACUGACCUGACCACAUGUCCUCCCGGUCCCACCAUCCCACGUUGUUGGCUCUGUGGCCUCCCACUUAGUUAAAUGACCCUCAGCUCAUCCAGGAUCAGUUCUUUCUAUAUUUCUCUGGCCUUUUUGAUUCUGCUUUUUACCUGAUCCUCGACCCACCUUGGAAUGAUUUUGAACUCAGUUCUUUUCUUAAUUUGACCAACGGUGGUCUCUCCAUCUUUCUCCUUUAAAUCCACCCUGACUUGACAAGUGUGGUUCUUAACUAUCCUUUUCUAUUCUGAUGAAUAUGUUUUUCUUUCUCACCCUUGGAAUGGAAUGGUGCUUGAAGUGAAAAACAGCUGCUGGUGCUGCUGCCAAGUCACUUCAGUUGUGUCCGACUCUGUGCAACCCCACAGACGGCAGCCCACUGGGCUCCCCCGUCCCUGGGAUUCUCCAGGCAAGGUUUCCCUUUAUUUCUUUUCUCAAACUUUGCACUUUGGCUCUAGCCUAAAUGUAAUGCUAUUCAAGGUAUAAAUAGUGAUUGCCUACACUUUUUUUCCCUUUCAUUUACUUAAUAUGCAUUUUUUUAGAACUCAAUAUACAAAAACCAGCUCUCUGCCCCCAAAAGAACUUUCAAUCUAAUUGAGGAGAAAAAGUAGCAAAUAAGGAUAACAGAGUGUAAGGUGUAUUAUGCUGGGAUCCACGCAAAGUCUGAUGCAGGCAUAAAGGAGAGCGUAUUGCUUGGAGAGUAGGAAAAAGCUUCACGGAUAAGAUGAUGUUUGAGUUGACUUGUCUUUAAAAAGUAUUCUGCUUCAUGGUGGAGAGGGGGAAAGGCAUACCAAUAGCAGGAAUGGAAUAUGCCAAAAUAGAAGCAUAAGCCCCAGGGAAGCCCCUUUCACCAUGAAGUGUGUAAAGACUUAGCAGAGAAGAAAAACAAAAAAGAAGUGGUAACUAUGUAAGGUGAUGAAUGUUAAUAAGCUGAUUGUGGUGAUCAUUUCAUAAUAUGUAUGUAUAUUGAAACAUCAAGUUGUGUACCUUAAACAUACAAUUUUUAUUUGUCCAUUAUCCUCAAUAAAACUGAACAAAACCCUUUAGGAGACCCCAUCUCUGGAAGCAUAAAGUCCAAAUUCAGUAGCCUGUAUGACCUUCAAGAUCCUUCAUGGCUUGACUUCACACUCUCCCUAGGUCUCUAGCGGUUCACAGUUCUUGCAAGUUUACCUAUAGGUAUUUUUAGCUUGGGCACAUAUAUCAUAGGAUAAUAUUAAUAUAUAGACCUCUGCAUCUCAUUUGGGCUUCCUCAAUGGCUCAGCAGGUAAAUAAUCCACCUGCAGUGUAGGAGACACAGGAGAUAUAGGUGUGAUCUCUGAGUUGGGAAGAUCCCGUGGAGGAAGGGGAUAGCAGAGACAUUACUUUGUCAACAAAGUUCCAUCUAGUCAAGGCUAUAGU
This 1803-nucleotide long non-coding RNA is filed under the name Capra hircus (goat). RNAcentral's name for it is "lncRNA (ENSCHIG00010001189.1)". Lineage: Eukaryota; Metazoa; Chordata; Mammalia; Artiodactyla; Bovidae. The record is from RNAcentral.